Long non-coding RNA from Musca domestica (house fly), 448 nucleotides. RefSeq lists it as uncharacterized. The transcript has 2 exons. The record is from RefSeq and is a predicted model, not a curated record. Lineage: Eukaryota; Metazoa; Arthropoda; Insecta; Diptera; Muscidae.
UAUUCGAUGUGGAUUUUGUUUAAAAAUAAUAACCAACAACAAUAAAAUAGUUAUAAUAAUUCAAUAACAAAGAGUUGACAUUUGACUAUAAAUUACUACAACUCUUCGUUAGUUGCCAGUGGAACCACGUCAGUACGUCAGAGUCGGAUACAAUUUUAAUUAGCCAUGAAACUUUCAAAUAUUAUUGCAGUAAUUUUCAACAUUUUGUUUUUCAUGGUUUUGACUAUAGCUUCUCCGGUGGAAGCUAAUCCUGCGGUGAGGAGACAUGAUCUGCCAGUUUGCCGUUGUUCGUUGGAUGGUCGCGGAAGUGGGGUUCCACCAAAUGGUUGCGGCUGUGCGAUAAACUGAUAUAGUUUUGACUGGAAAUCCUGGAGUAAAUAGUAAUAAAAAGUAAAUAAUGUAUUAUGAAAAAAUGGAAUAAAAUGACAUUUUAAUUUAUUCUCAGAAA